CCCUCCCUUCCAAGAAGGGGAAGAGAAAAACCCUAGCGAGCUCUUCUUCCUCUACAUAUAGCCCCAUCCAUCCUCUGCUCCGCCGACUCAUUCAGCAGCUCACCGAGCUUCCCCUGUUUUCCUCUCUCCCUCUCUCUCUAGAAUCUGCAAUUUCAGAGCGCGGCCGCUGUUUUGUUGUCCUGCUUGAUGUCUCUGUUCUUGAUGAAUUGGUCUUCGUUGUGUUUGCUUGCUUGUCCAAUGCCGUGCUUUCGGCGUGUGUUUUGGUGGGAAUUUGGGGUUUUGAGCGCGUCUGGUGUGAUUUCAAACGAGGGUUUUCUUGAUGGUUUUGGGACCGGCACGUCUGCCCCCUCAAGCAUCGAUCUUGAUUGUUUUUGAGGGAUCAACAUGUCCCUAGACAUUGGUGUUUCGUGUGUGUAUGUGUGUGUGGAUUUGAUUUGGGGAUUAGGGUCUCGUUCAUUUAAAACUUGGAAUGCGAUGUGGCUUUUCUCGGGUCGGGGACGAUACAUCUGAAGGCUUGUUUCUUGGAAAACAUUCGCAGUGGCCGCCUAAGAGCUUUCGCCUUCGCCGGGCUUGAGAGCUAAUGCUGCUAUAAUCCUUCCUUGGAUGUCUGAGACCUUGCCAUCUUGUACUUGCUAUGUUUCAUAACGUAGAUUGCUAUUGCUUCGGAUUAGGAUUUGCUCAGUCUUGUGAUGUGCAUACAAUUAUACAUUGGAUUUUGACAUGUCAAUAUGAUUUCGCCGAAAAUUUGUUGUUGAUAGCGAUUCUUUUUGUUGAUGAUGUUCAUCGAUGAUGACAAUUCGAAGGCUUGUUUCUCAAAGAACAUUCGCAGUGGCCGCCUAAGAGCUUUCGCCUUCGCCAGGCUUGAGAGCUGAUGCUGCUAUAUUCCUUCCUUGGAUGUCUGAGACCUUGCCAUCCUGUACUUGCUAUGUUUCAUAACGCAGAUUGCUAUUGCUUCAGAUUAGGAUUUGCUCAGUCUUGUGAUGUGCAUACAAUUAUACAUUGGUUAUUGACAUGUCAUUAUGAUUUUGCUGAAAAUUUGUUGUUGAUAGCGAUUCCUUUUGUUGAUGAUGUUCAUCGAUGAUGACAAUUCGAAGGCUUGUUUCUCAAAGAACAUUCGCAGUGGCCGCCUAAGAGCUUUGCCUUCGCCAGGCUUGAGAGCUGAUGCUGCUAUAUUCCUUCCUUGGAUGUCUGAGACCUUGCCAUCCUGUACUUGCUAUGUUUCAUAACGUAGAUUGCUAUUGCUUCAGAUUAGGAUUUGCUCAGUCCUGUGAUGUGCAUACAAUUAUACAUUGGUUGUUGACAUGUCAUUAUGAUUUUGCCGAAAAUUUGUUGUUGAUAGCAGAUUCCUUUUGUUGAUGAUGUUCAUCGAUGAUGACAAUUCGAAGGCUUGUUUCUCAAAGAACAUUCGCAGUGGCCGCCUAAGAGCUUUCGCCUUCGCCAGGCUUGAGAGCUGAUGCUGCUAUAUUCCUUCCUUGGAUGUCUGAGACCUUGCCAUCUUGUACUUGCUAUGUUUUAUCACCUAGAUUUCUAUUGCUUCAGAUUAGGAUUUGCUCAGUCUUGUGAUGUGCAUACAAUUAUACAUUGGCUGUCGACAUGUCAUUAUAAUUUCGCGGAAAAUUUGUUGUUGAUAGUGAUUCUUUUGGUGAUGAUAUUCAUCGAUGAUGACAAUUCGAAGGCUUGUUUCUCAAAGAACAUUCGCAGUGGCCGCCUAAGAGCUUUCGCCUUCGCCAGGCUUGAGAGCUAAUGCUGCUAUAAUCCUUCCUUGGAUGUCUGAGACCUUGUCAUCUUGUACUAGAUUUGCUUUGGAUUUGGAUUUGGAUUUGCUCAGUCUUGUGGUGUGCAUACAAUGGUGAAUUGGCUGUUGAUGUGCUGUUACCAUUUCGUGGGAAAGAUGUUGUUAAGAGUGAUUCUUUUUGGUAAUGAUAUUCAUCGAUGAUGACAAUUCGAAGGCUUGUUUCUCAAAGAACAUUCGCAGUGGCCGCCUAAGAGCUUUCGCCUUCGCCGGGCUUGAGAGCUAGUGCUGCUUCAAUCCUUCCUUGGAUGUCUGAGAUCCCUUCUUGGGAAUUUACAAAGCUGUUGCUACGUCCUCGGUUUCAUUGAUCUCUAUGGGGUCACUUUUGAGCACCAAUGUCGCCGGUUCAAGUCGGAGGCGAGGAAUUAGUGGGAGCUUAUGAGAUUCAGUGGAAGCUUAGUUGAGUUAUGGCAAGAUUGACAAAGAAAUUGUAAUAUUUAGUUCUCAAGUUGCCUUAGGCUUUUUUUUGUUUUUCACCUUAGUUGGAAAUGUAUACAUUUUGUUUUACUUAGAAUAGCAGGAGUGUUUCGACCAAGAAAAGAAAGCAAAAGUGUGGUAUAAGCCUAUAAGGAUAUUGUUUAGGUUAAUGUGAUGAAAAACUUCAAAUUCAAAUUGGUAUACUUGAGAUAAAUUCAUUCCAAA
Long non-coding RNA from Eucalyptus grandis, 2434 nucleotides. RefSeq lists it as uncharacterized. The transcript has 2 exons. The record is from RefSeq and is a predicted model, not a curated record. Lineage: Eukaryota; Viridiplantae; Streptophyta; Magnoliopsida; Myrtales; Myrtaceae.